RNAcentral lists this ribosomal RNA (468 nucleotides) under uncultured bacterium. RNAcentral's name for it is "partial 16S ribosomal RNA". It matches the Rfam family "Bacterial small subunit ribosomal RNA", at positions 28 to 507 of the family's 1533-position model. The record is from RNAcentral.
GACGAACGCUGGCGGCGUGCUUAACACAUGCAAGUCGAACGGAAAGGCCCUGCUUUUGUGGGGUGCUCGAGUGGCGAACGGGUGAGUAACACGUGAGUAACCUGCCCUUGACUUUGGGAUAACUUCAGGAAACUGGGGCUAAUACCGGAUAGGAGCUCCUGCUGCAUGGUGGGGGUUGGAAAGUUUCGGCGGUUGGGGAUGGACUCGCGGCUUAUCAGCUUGUUGGUGGGGUAGUGGCUUACCAAGGCUUUGACGGGUAGCCGGCCUGAGAGGGUGACCGGCCACAUUGGGACUGAGAUACGGGCCAGACUCCUACGGGAGGCAGCAGUGGGGAAUAUUGCACAAUGGGCGGAAGCCUGAUGCAGCAACGCCGCGUGCGGGAUGACGGCCUUCGGGUUGUAAACCGCGUUCGCCUGUGACGAAGCGUGAGUGACGGUAAUGGGUAAAGAAGCACCGGCUAACUACGUG